GCUUGUCUCAAAGAUUAAGCCAUGCAUGUCUAAGUAUAACUCUUUUACUUUGAAAACUGCGAACGGCUCAUUAUAUCAGUUAUAGUUUCUUUGAUAGUCCCUUACUACUUGGAUACCCGUAGUAAUUCUAGAGCUAAUACAUGCAUCAAUACCCAACUGUUCGCGGAAGGGUAGUAUUUAUUAGAUCCAACCAACCGCGGCGGGCAACCGGCGCGAACCUGGUGAAUCAUGAUAACUGAGCGAAUCGUAUGGCCUCGCGCCGACGAUGGUUCAUUCAAGUUUCUGCCCUAUCAGCUUUCGAUGGUAGGGUAUUGGCCUACCAUGGCAUUGACGGGUAACGGAGAAUUAGGGUUCGAUUCCGGAGAGGGAGCCUGAGAAACGGCUACCACAUCCAAGGAAGGCAGCAGG
This 408-nucleotide ribosomal RNA is filed under the name uncultured Bicosoeca. RNAcentral's name for it is "partial small subunit ribosomal RNA". It matches the Rfam family "Eukaryotic small subunit ribosomal RNA", at positions 30 to 432 of the family's 1831-position model. The record is from RNAcentral. Lineage: Eukaryota; Bigyra; Bicosoecida.